This 15598-nucleotide long non-coding RNA is filed under the name Malus domestica (apple). RNAcentral describes it as "long non-coding RNA (MDOM_LNC004951)". The record is from RNAcentral. Lineage: Eukaryota; Viridiplantae; Streptophyta; Magnoliopsida; Rosales; Rosaceae.
ACAGAAUUAGCAACUUACCAAGUGACGUUAUAAACAGAAUUUUGUCACAUUUGCCGAUUAGGGAAGCAGUUAGAACAAGUGUUUUAUCAAGCAAGUGGAGGAACAAAUCGGCUAUGCUUUCUCAUCUUUUGUUUGAUGAUCGGUGCACCUCGGAUCAAAACCCUACAACCUUUACAGGCAUUGUUGAUCAUGUACUCUUGGGUCACAUUAGCCCCAUAUACAGGUUCAGGAUCAUUCAUUCCCGACCUCAAGUCUGUAGAGAUAUUGAUCGAUGGAUUCUUCAUCUGUCAAGAAACUCUAUCAAAGAGUUGUUGCUUAAUAUCAAAUGUAGUGGGCAUCGCCACAAGAUGCCUUCAUGUUUGUUUUCUUGUCAAGAUCUCAUUUAUUUAGUGUUGUAUGAUUGUUUGCUACAACCUCCAUCCAAGUUCCAAGGAUUCAGGAGUUUGAAGACUUGUCGUCUUUUUAAUGUUACCCUGGACCAAGAUGUGCUUGAGAAUCUGAUUGUCUGCUGUCCUCUCCUUGAGAGAUUAACAUUGUGGCACUGUGAUGCAUUAACCCGGUUCAAGAUUGAUGCACCGAAUCUCAAAUUCCUUCAUUUUAAAGGCGUGCUUGAGGAUGUUAGUCUUGUGAAUACCUUAAAACUGGCCGAAGUUCACAUUAGUUUGACUGCUGAUGUUGCAAAUGACCAAAGACGGACUGCUGGAAGUUGUAGCAAUUUGCUCAAUUUUUUUGUUCAUCUGCCUCAUAUUCGAUGUCUUCGUGUCAAAUCUAACUUUUUGAAGGUAAUGGUUUUUGUGGCUUCAUUCUUUCAGUCAAUAAUCAGAUUUUGUGGCAAUCAGAAGUUGACUGUAUUUUCAAUCUUCUGUUUUCUGAACCUUUCUGUUCCAGUAUUUGGCUGUCGGAGUCUUGCCAGGAAAGCUACCUCAACCGUGUCUAUAUCUGAAUUUUUUUUCUAUACAUUUAAGCUUCAACGAUCCGAAGGAGAUUUUAACUGUUUUAUGUCUUCUGAGAAGCUUCCCUGCUCUACAGGAACUUGAAAUUUCAGUGAGUUUGUUGUAUUAUGUUGAUGCAUGCAUAUCCUGGUGUUCAAUUAAGAAUGUCAACCCAACUCUCUACACUAAUUGUAUUUUACUGUUUAGAGAGCUAUUUUAUGUGAUGUUCAAGCAUCUGAUGAUAUAGACUUAUGCAGGCCUUGAAUGAGUAUGAGGGUGCUGAGGGAGAAGUGAACUACGGGUUAGACAACAACCAGAAUUGCCAAUUGACCAAACUGCGAAUUGUCAAAAUAACCGGCAUCUAUGGUGACAAAGCUGAACUAGAUUUCAUCAGGUUUUUGCUUUCAAGUUCACCUGUGCUCGAGAAGAUGACUGUGAAGCCUGCUACUGCUAGAGAUUUUCAACUAGUAAAAAUGUUGCUCCAGUUUAAGCGUGUCUCGGAGAAUGCAGAGAUAUUCUACUUAGACCCUUGAUUCCUCAAUGAAACAUGUUUGGCAGAUAAGAUACGAGGACUUACCGGCAGAAACUGAAUGCGGAUUUUGAUAGUUUGAUACAAUUAUCUGUUAUGUAUUUUUCUUUGAACAAUGCCUCAGUGUCUUGCUAGGUGCAUUGUUCAGUGUCUUACUAGGUGCCUUUUUUUGGAGUGUUAUGUCUUGUCAAACGAUGCCAGUAGAUAUGUCUUCUUUUCUUUUACUAAUCUCAUGUUCAACUUGGACUCUGAUGUUAAAUUUUGACCCUAAGAUGUCUGAUGAUAUGUCUCGAAUACAAGAGGAGUAAUUUGAAAGUGUUUUUAGAAUGACUUAAAAGCGCUUACAAGCCAUAGGUCAUUUUGUAGAAAAGGUUGAAAGUUAUAAAUGGAGAAGGGCCGCAUGCGGUGGUCAUAUUCAAGAACCUCUUCAGGAGUUAUUAAAUGAACAUUUAGAAUGCGCGACGCAGCCAAACUAGAAGAAAGUACAUCGGCAGCAAUUAUUUGUAUUCGAUUCAGCAGUAUAACCAAAAGAAAAGGUUUUGUUCAGAUUACCUCCGGAAUAGAGGGCAAUGCCUGAUUGCUCUCCGUUUUGGGAUAGCACGACAACAAUUCUCGGUUGUACAACGAGUUUAGAACAAAACUGAUCUCAUUUCUAACAUAUGGAGUUUUACGUAUUACAAGUCAUCAAAAUUUAUCGCUGAGUCGCUAGACCAAUAAAUUUCUUUAGAACUUGUAGCUGAAUUAGCUUCCAUAACAUAGUCCGAGUCUUUGUCUAGGGACUCCGCUAAAUCUGCCUCCCAUAAGCCUAACCUGCAGACUCUCUUGUAAGUUUCGUAACUCGAUGCUCUUAUGCCCUCCGAAACAACAACAACAACAACAACAAAGCCUUUUCCCACUAAGUGGGGUCGGCUAUAUGAAUCCUAGAACGCCAUUGCGCUCGGUUUUGUGUCAUGUCCUCCGUUAGAUCCAAGUACUCUAAGUCUUUUCUUAGAGUCUCUUCCAAAGUUUUCCUAGGUCUUCCUCUACCCCUUCGGCCCUGAACCUCUGUCCUGUAGUCACAUCUUCGAACCGGAGCAUCAGUAGGCCUUCUUUGCACAUGUCCAAAUCACCGGAACCGAUUUUCUCUCAUCUUUCAUUCAAUUUCGGCUACUCCUACUUUACCUCGGAUAUCCUCAUUCCCAAUCUUAUCCUUUCUCGUGUGCCCACACAUCCCACGAAGCAUCCUCAUCUCCGCCACACCCAUUUUGUGUACGUGUUGAUGCUUCAACGCUCAACAUUAUGUGCCAUACAACAUCGCUGGCCUUAUUGCCGUCCUAUAAAAUUUUCCCUUGAGCUUCAGUGGCCUACGACGGUCACACAACACGCCGGAUGCACUCUUACACUUCAUCCAUCCAGCUUGUAUUCUAUGGUUGAGAUCUCCAUCUAAUUCUCCAUUCUCUUGCACGAUAGAUCCUAGGUAGCGAAAAUGGUCGCUUUUUGUGAUCUUCGCUAGAUUGCUCCGGUCAUUAGUGUGGAUAAGUAUAUAAAUGGAUAGAGACAGGAAAGCAAACAUAAGAUGUACGUGGUUCACCCAGAUUGGCUACGUCCACGGAAUAGAGGAGUUCUCAUUAAUUGUGAAAUGUUUACACAAGUACAUAGGUUCAAGCUCUCCUUUAGUGAGUACAAGUGAAUGAUUUAGUACAAAUGACAUUAGGAAAUAUUGUGGGAGAAUGAUCUCGUAAUCACGAAACUUCUAAGUAUCGGAGUGCGGUAUCGUCUUGACUUGCCUUAUCUGUCUCAUAGGUAGAUGUGGCAUCUUCUCUGGAAGUACUCUUCCUCCAUUCAGGGGUGGUAUCUUUAACUGGUGGAGAUGCACAAGGUAAUGUAUCAAUUUCACUUGAAGCUUACUUGUAGUUUCAGGCUUGGUCAAGCGCGAUACAAACCAUGUAGUAGGAGUCCCCCAAGUCGCCGAGCUAGAGGAUCUGCUGAAAGAGGUGACAGACAAGGUAAGCAAUCAGAGCUCCGGCUGAUUGUUCACAUUCUCCCUAUCUUGCAGGCAGCAUGAAGGAUAAAGAGAAGAAAAUGAGAAGAGAUGAUAUGGGAUACUUUUGCUUUUGAAGAAGUAACUUUCCACAGGCUUAUUCUUGAACUGAGCUGGAGGGUUUUCUGGUUUCCUCCAGAGUAUAAGGCCGACUGAAGAAUUUGAGGGUCAAAACAAGUCCAUCAAAUCUAGAGUACGUUCGACCCUGCUGAUAUGAGAUACUUUUGCUUUGACAGAGUAAUGGAUGUAUCGGCACGUGUGCUGUUUCGCUUGUCUCCACAUGCUUCCUUGUAUCCUUCUCCCUUGCCCUAUCUGUUCCUCAGGCAGAUGCGGUAUCUUUCCUGGAAGCAUAAGAUGUUGAAGAUGAGUACUCGAGAGCAAUGGCAGGUAAGUAAUCAGGUAAGGGGUUCCAGGCAGUCAGUUCCUGGCUGGAAGCUUGAUUCCAAGUGCUGACUGAUUGCUCUCUUUCUCCUUGUCUUGCAGAUAAGAACAAGGCCAAAGGAAAAGACAGGGAAAAAGCAUGAUAUGGGAUACUCUUGCUUUUAACCCUGAUGAUAUGAGAUAUUCUUGCUCUAGUAUAGCUUGUUUGCAGAGAUAUUAUCGGGGGGAAAGAAAGCUGAAUAUUUCGAAAGGCUUCAUUGAGAGUGCCCUCUCAGAUAUGAGGAAGGGUUGAGCAUUUUUGCAGGUCUGCCUGUCCGUUGGGAAUAGAGGUCGACAUAUAUAGGAGUCUCCUUAACAACAAGUAGUAAUGCUAUUCCUUUACCCUACUUGGUCAUAGCACGGUAGUGGGAGCUGCUAGCUUCACAUGUUUUAACUCUGUCAGAGCACUUUGAAAAAGUGGUCUGUGGUAUCUGGAAAGGUGAUGUUGCGUGUGAAGAUUACAGACAGCUUUAUCCAAGGAGAUCCGGCUCUUGAAGUUGGGAAAGUGUUACCUCUUCGGUUUUCGAACAAGCAAUCCUAUCGGGGAUCUGGCUCUCGAGAUUCGGAGAACGAUGCCUCUUCGAUUUUUGAGAAAGCAAUCAUGUUGGGGGUCUGGCUCUCGAGAUUCGGAGAGCGGUGUCUCUUCGAUUUUUGAGAAAGUAAUCAUGUUGGGAGUCUGGCUCUCGAGAUUCGAAGGGCGGUGCCUCUUCGAUUUUGGAGCAAGCAAACUUGUGGGGAGUGUUUUCUCGAAUGUGAGUAAAGGUUGGGCAUGUUUGCUAGUCUACCUUGCCACGAAGCACAGAGGUUGACACAUAGGGACUUUCCAAUUAUCCAGCAAUGGUACUGUUCUUUUACCCUCUCUUCGAUUUUUGAGAAAGUAGUCAUGUUGGGAGUCUGGCUCUCGAGAUUCGGAGGACGGUGCCUCUUCGAUUUUGGAGCAAGCAAUCUUGUUGGGAGUGUUUUCUCGAAUGUGAGUAAAGGUUGGGCAUGUUUGCUAGUCUACCUUGCCACGAAGCACAGAGGUUGACACACAGGGACUUUCCAAUUAUCCAGCAGUGGUACUGUUCCUUUACCCUUGUGGGUAAUAAUAUGGUAGCUAGACCUUCAAAAUUUAUGUGUCUAAACUUUGUUAGUGUUGUUUCUUUGCUAUUCUUUUACCCUUCUUGGUCAGAGCGAUGUAGUGGGAGUUGCAAGCUUCACGUGCUCAACUUUGGCAGAGAACUUUGGCAAAGUUAUCUGUGGUACCCAUGAGCUACUGUUGCGUGUGGGAAGUGGGUGAUUGAACAGUAAGACUCAUGUGCUUUCUACUUCACCAGAAGUCUUUGACAGAAUGCCCAUAAUUUCCGCAAAGCUGAGUGUGCGUGUGACAGGUGCUGACAAGGCUGGAAAAGUAGGUGCCUCUUCGAUUUCUGAGAUCGGCCCUCGUGGUCUCUGAGCAGCCCAGCUUUUGAGAAAGCAAGCGCCUCUUCGAUUUCUGAGAUCGGCCUUCGUGGUCUUUGAGCAACCCAGCUUUUGAGAAAGCAAAGGCCUUUUCAAUUUCUGAGAUCGACCCUCGUGGUCUCUGAGCAGCCCAGCUUUUGAGAAAGCAAACGCCUCUUCGAUUUCAGAGCAGGCGCCUCUUCGAUUUCUGAAGCUCUGUCGAGUGCAGAUUUUUAUAAGGGCUGGCAUUAAGUUCCAAAGCACACUUGAAUCUCCACCAGUAGAAGCUCCAUUCUUGCACUUCUUAGAUCUUGAUUUGUUCGACCUCUUCUCUCUUCAACACCUUUGAAAAUGUUGGGCCCCUCCGACCGUCGUUUUGACUUGAACCUUGUUGAAGAGGCAGCUCCGCUUUCUCCAGACAACAUAUGGCGCCCAUCCUUCGUCUCCCCUACUGGUUCUCUUACUGUUGGGGAUUCCAUGAUGAAGAAUGAUAUGACCGCUGCGGUGGUGGCCAGGAACCUUCUCACUCCCAAAGAUAACAGACUACUUUCCAAAAGGUCUGAUGAGUUAGCUGUUAAGGAUUCUCUGGCUCUCAGUGUUCAGUGUGCAGGUUCUGUGUCUAAUAUGGCCCAAAGCCUAUUUGCUCGAACCCGCCAAGUUGAAUCAUUGGCGGCUGAAGUGAUGAAUCUCAAACAUGAGAUUAGAGGGCUCAAGUAUGAGAAUAAACAGUUGCACCGGCUCGCACAUGACUAUGCUACAAACAUGAAGAGGAAGCUUGACCAGAUGAAGGAAUCUGAUGGUCAGGUUUUACUUGAUCAUCAGAGAUUUGUGGGUUUAUUCCAAAGGCAUUUAUUGCCUUCGUCUUCUGGGGCUGUACCGCGUAAUGAAGCUCCAAAUGAUCAACCUCUGAUGCCUCCUCCUUCUAGGGUUCUGUCCAGUACUGAGGCUCCAAAUGAUCCUCCUCCGGUGCCUUCUCUUUCUGGGGCUCUACCGACUGCUGAGACUUCUCCUAAGCAACCUUUGUGAAGGCUCCAUCUUGUUUGUUUAUUUUGACUUAUGUAUAUGUACAUAUUUGUAGUUUAUCGGGGAUAUCAAUAAAUAAGCUUUCCUUCAUUUCAACGUAUUAUGUUAAUUACACCAAAGCCUUCUUCGCUAAGUUCUUUGAAUUUUCUUUUGUUGAAGCUUUGUGAGUGGAGCAUGUAGGUUGAGGUAGUGUUCCCUUAAUUUCCUGAGUGAGGAAAACUUCUCGGUUGGAGACUUGGAAAAUCCAAGUCACUGAGUGGGAUCGGCUAUAUGAAUCUUAAAACGCCAUUGUGCUCGGUCCUAUGUCAUGUCCUUCGUUAGAUCCAAGUACUCUAAGUCUUUUCUUAGAGUCUCUUCCAAAGUUUUCCUAGGUCUUCCUCUACCCCUUUGGCCCUGAACCUCUAUCCCAUAGUCGCAUCUUCUAAUCGGAGCGUCAGUAGGCCUUCUUUGCACAUGUCCAAACCACCGUAACCGAUUUUCUCUCAUCUUUCCUUCAAUUUCGGCUACUCCUACUUUACCCCGGAUAUCCUCAUUCCUAAUCUUAUCCUUUCUCGUGUGCCCACACAUCCAACGAAGCAUCCUCAUCUCCGCUACACCCAUUUUGUGUACGUGUUGAUGCUUCACCGCCCAACAUUCUGUGCCAUACAGCAUCGCCGGCCUUAUUGCCGUCCUAUAAAAUUUUCCCUUGAGCUUCAGUGGCAUACGGCGGUCACACAACACGCCGGAUGCACUCUUCCACUUCAUCCAUCCAGCUUGUAUUCUAUGGUUGAGAUCUCCAUCUAAUUCUCCGUUCUUUUGCAAGAUAGAUCCUAGGUAACGAAAACGGUCGCUCUUUGGUAUUUCUUGAUCUCCGAUCCUCACCCCUAACUCGUUUUGGCCUCCAUUUGCACUGAACUUGCACUCCAUAUAUUCUGUCUUUGAUCGGCUUAGGCGAAGACCUUUAGAUUCCAACACUUCUCUCCAAAGGUUAAGCUUUGCAUUUACCCAUUCCUGAGUUUCAUCUAUCAACACUAUAUCGUCUGCGAAAAGCAUACACCAAGGAAUAUCAUCUUGAAUAUGUCAUGUUAACUCAUCCAUUACCAACGCAAAAAGGUAAGGAGUUAAGGAUGAGCCUUGAUGUAAUCCUACAGUUAUGGGAAAGCUUUCAGUUUGUCCUUCAUGAGUUCUUACGGCAGUCUUAUGCCCUCCGAAACGAUCUCCAAUAAAGAGUCACAAAUCUCUUCACUGCUCAUGGCAUCCAAAAAUGUUUCAGAUAAACCACGUCGCCAAAAAACAACAAUGGCGCAGCUCCUGUCCACUAACCGAACAUCAAAUUCUUCAGAGAAGACGGCAUGUGACUUGCACAACAAGCUCUUGAUCAUCCCUGCAGUCAUCCUACUUCUGAAUCCCCAUAAGAAUACCAAUUGAUCACAGCUGACCUUUCUCAAAUUCUUUGUCCAGACUCUGAUAUCCUCAUUGGUUGAUUCUUGGGGGCUGUCAAAACACGGAUUGGAAAUGUUCGUGAACUCUUCGACGGCUGGAGCCAACAGUGCAUUGUUAGAUACCAUAGUGUUGUUGGAAAUUUUCAGAACGGAGCAGAGCUUUGCAAACAAAUAGCACAUCUUCACCACAUUAUGCCUAUGAAUGUUGCCUUCACUUUCUGUAGAUGACAACCCAAACAUUGUAUGUAGUAAGAGAAGAAGUUAGGUUUGCUCUGAAGUAAAAAAAUGGCAUAACGGACAGCAAUUGACACAAGAAAUCACAGGAAAACCAAGUAAAACCCACAAGAGCGACAAAUAUGUGAAUUACUUCACUCUAUUCAACUGUGCAAACAUCUAGAUUCGUGCAGGGUCUUGUUCCUUAAAUUUCACUUCCCAUUACAAUUUUUCUCAAGGAACUCGGCAGAGCAUCUGCAAAAUGGAAAGCCAAAACACCUUUCAACAUCUGAAACCAAUGAAAAAUAAAAUCGUUGGAUCAGAUAAAAUCUGAUUCAAUACACCGGCACCAGAAAAAAGGAUUAAAAACAACAGGAGGUCAACAUACAUACCGUAGUACUAAAUGACCAUUUCCUUUUUUAUUUUAGGUUUAGAUUGUUUCAUGUAGAUCAGUCGAUAGAUCGAAUUUUAACCCAUAUUCAAUUGAAAUCAGACUUAAUUAAUAUAGUAUGGAUUGUGGUUUUCAAUCUAAUUAUAAUUACAAAUGAAUUUGGAUAUGUAUAGAGGUUGAUCGCAUCGGAUCAUUUAUAACAUAUUAUUUAUUGGGAAAAUUAGGUUCACAUCAUUCUUUUUGUUACUCCAUUGAUUAAAAUCCUAUUCAUUUUCAAUUUUUUAUCAAGGUCCUUGGGUAUUAAUAACAUCAUUAAUUAUUUAAAUAAUAAAAUAUUUUUAUUUUUAAAUAUAUUCCUUUAAUGUUAAAAAUGUUACAAUUAGUAUAUUUAUAUUUAUGGCUAAAUUUUUUUAUCAUAUAUUUUUAUUUUUAGUUUGUACCUAUUUUUUUAUUUGCAAAUAUUUUUUAAUUUGUACCAAUUUUCUUUUCAUUUUUAAUUUGUACCCAUAUAUAAGCUUCUUUUUGUGCCCAUAUUUUUUAAAGUUUUAUUUGUGUUUGUACCCAUGUGUAUACCGUCACGUGACAUUUAAUCAAUGAUAGAAAAAUUACAUAUGGUAUAUUUAUGUUUUAUGCCUAAACUUUGUAUCAUAUAUUUAUAUUUUUCGUCUGUACCCACUUUUAAUUUGCAACAUUUUUUUUAAAUUUGUAGUAUUUUCUUUUUAGUUUUAUUUUGUACCCAUGUAUUAAUUUCUUUUAGCACCUAUAUUUUUAAAAAUUCAUUUGUAUUCAUAAUUUUUAAUUUUUUAUCUGUACCCCCUAAUUUAUUUCUAAUGUACCCAUUCUUCUUUAUCAAUGUACCACUUUGUUAUAUGUGAAAUGUACCAAUUUUUUUAACACUAUGGAUAAAUUCUUUUGCCAUUUAUUAUUUAUUAUUUUUACAUAGUUUUUAUCCAUUUAUUCAAUCAAAAUGUUUGAAUUUUUUUAUUGUAACCGUUUCUAAUAGUAUUAUAAUGAGGGAUUUUAAAUUUAUAGGAUUAUAAAUCUCAUAAAAUAUCAAACAAUUAAUGUCAAAACUAUAAAAAUAUAAAUAUUAAUAGUAAUAUAAUGAGGUGUACAAAGUCAAGGGACUUUGAUCAAACUUUGAAUAUUAUUAAGAUUUUAAUCAACGAAUGUUAAGGAUUAGGGACCGCAUCCAAAGUAUCCCUUUAUUAUUUGUAUUUGGGUCUUGGAUUCAGUAAUUACUUUUCUUGUUUGUAUUUGGGCUUUGGAUUGAGAUAGGUGAACACUAAGGCGGUCAUGUGAAUCAAGUCACAAGGAAAAAUAAUGAAAUGGCAUCACAACGCCAACAUGUUGUUGAAAAAAGUAAGACUAUGGAGAAGAUUAAUUGUUGUCCAAAUUAGGGAUAAAAUUCAAACAAAAAGAGGAAGGAAAAAAAUUGAUGUCUAUAUUAGGAAUUGUUGACCCUAAAAGUGCAAAGCCUAUGUGGGACAUAAGUCGAGUAACUAUUGAACUAACUACUUUCUUAUGAAUGCGAGCGUGCCACCUCACGACUGAGCUCGGUCAGGCGAGUAGAAUGGAUGUUGUGGUGUUGCUGAAUGCGCUGCUGAUUUAUGCACCUGAGCAAUUACAGUCGAGGAGGGAACGCAUCUAUGCCUAGAGUUCUCGAACCUGAAGACAAUGUUGCUUAAUUCACUGUGAAGUUCAGGAUCUUCUGCAUCGAGUUUUGUUGCUUCAACUAUAUUCGUAAGUGCGCCGAAUCAGUAUCAAACUCUAUGGGAAAAGAUACUAAAAAAAUGCCUUUAUGGUGAAACAUGGUUCGGCUAUUUGAAUGCCGAAGUACAAAGUGACCUGAGAAUAACCGACCAUAGAAUAGUUCAUUUCAAUGAGAAGCUAAUGAAGUGACCUAUUUGGCCUAAAGAAUUGAGAAUUCUUCGCCGACAUAGACUUGUAUAAAUAAUCAACCAACCAGAAGCAGUCCUAUUUACUUGUCCAAAUUAAAGAUGUUCCUAAAUCGCCUGAUUCUAUAGCUCUAGUGUUGUUUACUUAUCUAAACUAUGCAUUGGACGACAACCAGAAUGCCAACUCACUCAACUGCGACUUGUGAAAAAUAACCGAAGUAUCUGGUCUUAGCGCUGAAUUAGAUUUCAUCAUAUUUUUGCUUUCAAGUUCACCUGUGCUCGAGAAGAUGAUUGUGGAGCCAGCUGCUAUUGUCAGAGGUUUUCCGGAACUAUUAAAAAAGGUGCUCCCGUACGUUUUGGUGUGUCUCGGAGAAUGCAGAGAUAAUAUACAUGGACCCUUGGUUCACGGUUCAUCCAUGAAACAAAUAUGGCAGAUACAGGCUUGCUGAACCGAAGUGUGGUUUUGAUAGUUGAGUGCUAUCCCUAAUCUGUUUUUGUCUUCCCAGUUUAAAAUGGUGGGGAAUUUAUGUUUGGGUACUAUUACCAACCAUUUUUUUCUUUGUAAACAAUAAUAUUUAGCCAUUGCUGACCCAAAAGUAAUAAUAUUAUGUCAUUUCUUGUGUGUGUGUGUAAAUAUAUGUAUAUAUGGAUGAUUCUUUUUUUACCUGAGACACAAGUAGCUAAAAACUAUCAGUCACUGUUGAUAAAUAACUACAUAAGCAACAGAAUAACCAUGUAUGAUCCACUGCCAUAUUGUAUGUCCUCUUCUUCCAUGGCCGUUUGCAACGAACACGUUUGCCAAACCAUGUGUUUGAGUUAAUAUUUAACAUUGGGCUUUAUGAUAAUGAUGCCCAAGCCCAGUUGAUAGGCCUGAAACAAUUUGAAGCCAUUUCAGCUAAGGCAUAGGCCAUGUGUCUAUGAUUAAAGUGAUGGAUGACAAAGACCAAUUCAUCACCAGCCAAAAACAUUUUCUAAUCACUUGACAAGUAAAUAGAUGAUGACUCACUGAGCCACCAGCCAGAAACAGAGCUAAAACAGUCAAGCCAAAUCGCCUAUAAAAAGAGAAAGGGACAUCAGAGACAAAGACACUCAACCAACCAAUCAAAAGACAUACAAACUCUGCUCUCAAGCCAGUUCAUACCCAGAAAGCUGAAACUUGUCCAGAUUCAGUCCUUUUAGCUAUAGUUCUCUUAGGAAAAACCAUCUUUUGUCUAGUGUAAAAGCUCUGCUACCUUUCCUUAGUAUUGUAGUAUCGAUUCCCUCGUGUAAAAUCUAUUUACUUGCCAUCUUUUUUAGCAUACAAACUUCUGUAAACCCAAAGAGAAAUGGUUUCAAGAAGUUCAACCUUACCCGACAAUGUGAAGUCUUCCCGAGUCUCUUUGUUUGUACUUUUAUUUAGUAGAUCUGUCGCUAAAUAUACUUUCCAUCAUGUAUUCAAGUUAUUUUCAACUAUUUUCUACUUAAGAGGCCCAGUUGCAUUAGAAUAUGGUUAAGUUAAUGAACAUGUUUUCAUUAAAAGAAAAUUGUGAUCGAGGAAGUGGUUGAAAGGGCCUUGAACUCCCUUCGUUUUAGACAUAUAAGAUUAUGAACUAAAAGUCUUUGUUUACAAGGCACGAAAAAGAACUUAAUACAGACUUAACCCAUCUAUGACAAUCCUUUGAUAAACAAGCAGUUUGAGUGACUUGGGGCGCAAGUAAUCAACUUAACUCACACCCAUUCAACAAUCUGUAGUACUAAGAUAGCAGUGGCACGCUUAGAUCCUUGUUAGUUUUGAUUGUGAGCCUCAAGGCCUACACCAAAGGCCCCACAAAGGCACCUUUCAAACUAACUACAAACUCUUCUUGCAGCACACCAAGCAGCAAGAACUUGCCCGACAACCAACAACAUGCCACCUCCUUAGGGAGCUCUGCGAGGGACUGGACCCAAAAAUCUUGCCUGAACACCCGGCACAGGUCCGAUCAAACACUGAAAUACUACAGCUUAUGACAUUCAUUAGUUUCACAGGAACUGACCAUUUUAAUUUUUUCAGUACAAGCAUAAACUUGAAACACUAAAGUAAUUAGAACCCAAACGGGACUUACUGUAAGAUCGUAAUCCUCUUACUCUAAAUCGGAUUAAUCGAAGCAAAUAAAUGUAAAUUGUUGAUGCACAAAAUCAGCGAGGACUUUGGUACAACAGAAAGUGUUAAGUUUGUGACCUUUGCUAGAUUGCUCCGGUCACUAGUGUGGAUAAAUAUGUAAAUGGAUAGAGACAGGGAAGCAAACACAAGAUGUACGUGGUUCACCCAGAUUGGCUACGUCCACGGAGUAGAUGAGUUCUCAUUAAUUGUGAAGGGUUUACACAAGUACAUAGGUUCAAACUCUCCUUUAGUGAGUACAAGUGAAUGAUUUAGUACAAAUGACAUUAGGAAAUAUUGUGGGAGAAUGAUCUCCUUUUAUAGAAGAGAGUUUGUAGCUUUGUUUUGACAUUGACACGUGUCGUGUUGUGAUUGGCUUCUGAUGUUGACACGUGUCGCGCUAUGAUUGGCUUCUGAUGUCGACACGUGUUGCGUUGUGGUUGGAGGGAAAUACUUCUGGGUCCUUGACGGUAUAACGUUGACCGGUGCUCAGUAGUUUCGGGAUUGGUCAAGUAUGGUACAAACAUAAAUAUUGCACAAAACUCAUACUCUACAAAUCUUAAGGGUUAUGAAAUAAUUUAGCCUCUAUUCUAAGACUAGAACAAUCGUGAACUUUGAAUAGAUGCACUUAAAUAUACAAAAUCCUGAUCAAACAAACGUUACUUCUCUUACCAUGCAUAGAGUUGUGUAACACACCAAAUCAUAACACAAGUGGUUUUUUCUUUCGAAAAGUCAAAACUGUUUAGCAGGAAAACCAUCUCGAAAAUAACCUACAAAUUAUCACACAUAGCGUAUAUCAAAUAUCAAGGCAUUUUAGAUAAACGCACAACAUUUAGAACAUUUUAUACUCGUCAUUAUACAAUAAAGUGCUUAUGAACCCAAAAACACUUUGACGAAAAACGCUUUCAGUAAUUUUAAAAAUGCUUCUAAAUGAGCAUAUUGGAAGAGGUUUAAAGCUCUUUUGGCUUUUGGAUAGUCAUAGCUAUGCGUCCUAAGCCAUAAUUUGUGUUAUGGCAUUAACCAAAAGAAAGGUUUUGUUUAGAUUGCUUUUGGAGUAUAGCACGCGACAAUUCUAAGCCGUAGAACGGUGAGUGUUAGAGCAAAACUAAUCUCCUUUCUAACAUGUGGAGUUUUGGAGGAACCGGACCCUAUCCGUUUUAAAUAGUAACAGGUCGGACUGGGCCGGGUAGAGAGAUUUUGAGUUUAGGAACCGGACCUAACUCGACCUGUUUGAAACGGGCCAGUUCGGGACGGGUCCACGGGUUCAAUUACUUUUUCUUUUUCUUUUUUUUCAGUUUUGGGCAUACUGCCAAACUGCCAGUGUCGUUUUUUCUUUCUCCUCUUCGCAUCAUCUUCAUUCUCUCUCUUUCUGUUUGCAACUUCGAUCGGCCUUAAUGCCGUCGCUUCACGAUUUGGGAACACGUCUCCACCUUUUCCCAAUCUUUGACUUUUUCACACUUACUUGUAUUUAGUUCGUCGGAUCUAAUGGUUUCUCAACUUGCAAGUGUUGGGAGGCGACGGAUCUACAAUAUUGUCAUCAUAUUGGACUUCAGACUUGGGAAAGAAGGAGAAGGAGUCGAUGAGGCUUUUCAAGUUGGGAACUGAAACGGCUGAUUAAAGAGGGUUGGGAAGAUGGGUUGAUUAAAGACCGUCAAUAGAGCUCGGUUUCCAUGCAAAUCUGAGUCAGACAGAGUUAGGCUUCCAUCCUUUCGAGUUCGACAGGUUUAUUAAAUACGGUUCAAGUCGGGGGCCCGUGUCUUCAAAAAAUUGGAUCCGCCUCGCCCCUCUGUUUACUUGAACCAGCCACGCCCCGUCCCGUUUUGUAUAUAAAAUAGUAUGGACCCGUCCCGUACCCAUCCCAAACCGCUAUUACCCGCGGGCCCAGGGCCCGUUUGCCUAGCCCUAAUUACAAAGUCAUCAUAAUUAAUCAUUGAGUCGCUAAACCAAUAAAUUUCUUUAGAAUUUGUAUAGCUGAAUUAGCUUUCAUAAGGUAGUUUAGAGAAACACUUGCAUACACUUGUUCGUAUACCCCUUCUUCAUACUGUUACCUUGCCCCAUUGUCUAAACGUUUGGUUUUUUUAUAUUUUCUUAUUAUCCUAUAAGGUUUUGAAUUAUCCUGUCCACUUGUUAUAAUUUUAUUGGUAGUUAUAACUGACAAGUAAGAAUUGAUGUUAAAAUGAUUAAUUCACCCUCGAAUUUAAUGGAAUAGGAGACAGAAUCUAACGGCAAUGAAUUAAUUAACUAAUUUCAAAUAAUUUAGAAGUUAAUUUACCAAAAAACUAUAUAAUUCGGUUAAUUUUAACUCAGUAAUAAUUCAAGUUAAACAACAAUUUAGCCGUUCAUAUAAAAUGCGGGUUUUCCAAAGAAAAAGAAAAGCUGUUCACCAUCUUUACAGAAAUUCAGUAAACUUGAAGUAGGUGCCGCAGUUUCAUCGAUCUGGGUUAAAUAAUUCCCCGUAUUCCUUGUCUCAUGGUAAGUUUUUUGGGUUUCAAUUUUCAUGCAUUCAACAGUAAAAUGCACCAAGUUUUUGUGUGGAUUGUGUUCUCCGUUUGUUGUUGGUUAUGGAAAGUUAGGGUUUUUGCACCUGCAAUCUUAUUCUUCCUUUGGAAUCUAGGCCACAGCCCAUAUAUAUAUAUAUAUAUAUAUAUAUAUAUAUAUAUAUAUAUAUAUAUAUAUAUAUAUAUAUAUAUAUAUCUUCUUGUGUUUUGUAUGACCAUAUGAAAUUUGGAAAUUAGUUGUGAGGGUUUGCUUACUAUGUCUCUCUGCACAAUCUGAAUCGCACAAGGUUGGAGUCUAAAUGUUCUUAACGCCGCUGAGCGCUGGCCAGUUUGUUAGAUUAAUGAAUUUUUUGUCUCAUUGAUUACUGGAAUAUCUCAGAUGGAAAGAGAACCGCCCAAGUCCCGUUUGAAAGUGUCAAUGGAGUUGGACAGAAUUAGCAACUUACCAAGUGACUUUAUAAACAAAAUUUUGUCAUAUUUGCCAAUUAGGGAAGCAGUUAGAACAAGUGUUUUAUCAAGCAAGUGGAGGAACAAAUCGGCUAUGCUUACUCAUCUUUUGUUUGAUGAUCGGUGCACCUCGGAUCAAAACCCUACAACCUUUGCAGGCAUUGUUGAUCAUGUACUCUUGGGUCACAUUGGCCCCAUUUACAGGUUCGCGAUCACUCAUUUCCGACCUCAAGUCGGUAGAGAUAUUGAUCGAUGGAUUCUUCAUCUGUCA